GACGAACGCUGGCGGCGUGCUUAACACAUGCAAGUCGAACGGGGUCCAGUCUGUGGCAAUACAGAGGAAGACCUAGUGGCGAACGGGUGAGGAACACGUGGGGAAUCUGUCCCGAACUCUGGGAUAACAGUUGGAAACGACUGCUAAUACCGGAUGCCGUCGUUGGAUCGCAUGAUUCGAUGACGAAAGAAUUUCGGUUCGGGAGGAUCUCGCGGCCUAUCAGCUUGUUGGUGGGGUAAUGGCCUACCAAGGCAUCGACGGGUAGCUGGUCUGAGAGGAUGAUCAGCCACACUGGGACUGAGACACGGCCCAGACUCCUACGGGAGGCAGCAGUGGGGAAGCUUGCGCAAUGGGCGAAAGCCUGACGCAGCAACGCCGCGUGCGGGAAGAAGGCCUUCGGGUCGUAAACCGCUUUCAGCAGGAACGAGAAUGACGGUACCUGCAGAAGAGGGUGCGGCCAACUACGUGCCAGCCGCCGCCGUAA
RNAcentral lists this ribosomal RNA (484 nucleotides) under uncultured bacterium. Its description in RNAcentral is "partial 16S ribosomal RNA". It matches the Rfam family "Bacterial small subunit ribosomal RNA", at positions 28 to 523 of the family's 1533-position model. The record is from RNAcentral.